RNAcentral lists this ribosomal RNA (697 nucleotides) under uncultured Bacteroidales bacterium. RNAcentral describes it as "bacterial SSU rRNA". It matches the Rfam family "Bacterial small subunit ribosomal RNA", at positions 30 to 716 of the family's 1533-position model. Lineage: Bacteria; Pseudomonadati; Bacteroidota; Bacteroidia; Bacteroidales. The record is from RNAcentral.
UGAACGCUAGCUACAGGCUUAACACAUGCAAGUCGAGGGGCAGCAUGGUCUUAGCUUGCUAAGGCCGAUGGCGACCGGCGCACGGGUGAGUAACACGUAUCCAACCUGCCGUCUACUCUUGGACAGCCUUCUGAAAGGAAGAUUAAUACAAGAUGGCAUCAUGAGUCCGCAUGUUCACAUGAUUAAAGGUAUUCCGGUAGACGAUGGGGAUGCGUUCCAUUAGAUAGUAGGCGGGGUAACGGCCCACCUAGUCUUCGAUGGAUAGGGGUUCUGAGAGGAAGGUCCCCCACAUUGGAACUGAGACACGGUCCAAACUCCUACGGGAGGCAGCAGUGAGGAAUAUUGGUCAAUGGGCGAGAGCCUGAACCAGCCAAGUAGCGUGAAGGAUGACUGCCCUAUGGGUUGUAAACUUCUUUUAUAAAGGAAUAAAGUCGGGUAUGGAUACCCGUUUGCAUGUACUUUAUGAAUAAGGAUCGGCUAACUCCGUGCCAGCAGCCGCGGUAAUACGGAGGAUCCGAGCGUUAUCCGGAUUUAUUGGGUUUAAAGGGAGCGUAGAUGGAUGUUUAAGUCAGUUGUGAAAGUUUGCGGCUCAACCGUAAAAUUGCAGUUGAUACUGGAUAUCUUGAGUGCAGUUGAGGCAGGCGGAAUUCGUGGUGUAGCGGUGAAAUGCUUAGAUAUCACGAAGAACUCCGAUUGC